GACGAACGCUGGCGGCGUGCUUAACACAUGCAAGUCGAACGGAAAGGCACUGCUUUUGUGGGGUGCUCGAGUGGCGAACGGGUGAGUAACACGUGAGUAACCUGCCCCUGACUUUGGGAUAACUUCAGGAAACUGGGGCUAAUACCGGAUAGGAGCUCCUGCUGCAUGGUGGGGGUUGGAAAGUUUCGGCGGUUGGGGAUGGACUCGCGGCUUAUCAGCUUGUUGGUGGGGUAGUGGCUUACCAAGGCUUUGACGGGUAGCCGGCCUGAGAGGGUGACCGGCCACAUUGGGACUGAGAUACGGCCCAGACUCCUACGGGAGGCAGCAGUGGGGAAUAUUGCACAAUGGGCGGAAGCCUGAUGCAGCAACGCCGCGUGCGGGAUGACGGCCUUCGGGUUGUAAACCGCUUUCGCCUGUGACGAAGCGUGAGUGACGGUAAUGGGUAAAGAAGCACCGGCUAACUACGUG
RNAcentral lists this ribosomal RNA (468 nucleotides) under uncultured bacterium. RNAcentral describes it as "partial 16S ribosomal RNA". It matches the Rfam family "Bacterial small subunit ribosomal RNA", at positions 28 to 507 of the family's 1533-position model. The record is from RNAcentral.